AGAUCUGUUUGAUCCUGGCUCAGAACGAACGUUGGCGGCGUGGAUUAGGCAUGCAAGUCGAAUGAAUGCCGGGUAGCAAUACUCGGCGGAAAUGGCGAAAGGGGCAGUAAUGUAUAGGUAAUCUACCUCGGGGAUGGGGAUAGCCGUUCUAACGGACGGGUAAUACCCAGCGACGCAAUGUGCUCGCAUGAGCGUGUUGCCAAAUGAGUUUCGCCCUGAGAGGAGCCUAUAUCGUAUUAGCUAGUUGGUGAGGUAACGGCUCACCAAGGCUUAGAUGCGUAGCGGGUGUGAGAGCACGACCCGCGCCACUGGCACUGAGACACUGGCCAGACACCUACGGGUGGCUGCAGUCGAGGAUCUUCGGCAAUGGGCGCAAGCCUGACCGAGCGACGCCGCGUGAGCGAUGAAGGCCUUCGGGUUGUAAAGCUCUUUGGUGGGGGAGAAAAGGGCAACCUUGAUCUAUCCCAAGAACAAGCACGGGCUAAGUUCGUGCCAGCAGCCGCGGUAAGACGAACCGUGCGAACGUUGUUCGGAAUAACUGGGCUUAAAGGGCGCGUAGGCGGGCUCGCAAGUCUGUGGUGAAAUCCUCCAGCUUAACUGGAGAACUGCCUUGGAUACUGCGGGUCUCGAGGAAAGUAGGGGCGUGCGGAACAAUUGGUGGAGCGGUGAAAUGCGUUGAUAUCAAUUGGAACUCCGGUGGCGAAGGCGGCACGCUGGGCUUUUUCUGACGCUGAGGCGCGAAAGCCAGGGGAGCAAACGGGAUUAGAUACCCCGGUAGUCCUGGCCCUAAACGAUGAGUACUAGAUAGUAGACUUGACAUGGGUUUACUGUCGAAGCAAAAGUGCUAAGUACUCCGCCUGGGGAGUAUGGCCGCAAGGCUGAAACUCAAAGGAAUUGACGGGGGCUCACACAAGCGGUGGAGCAUGUGGCUUAAUUCGAGGCUACGCGAAGAACCUUAUCCUGGACUUGACAUGCACGGAUUAGUCUGCGGAAACGUAGAUGACAGCCGCAAGGUUGGAACGUGCACAGGUGCUGCAUGGCUGUCGUCAGCUCGUGUCGUGAGAUGUCGGGUUAAGUCCCAUAACGAGCGAAACCCUUACUCUCUAGUUGCGACCAGGUAAUGCUGAGCACUCUAAGAGGACUGCCGGUGUUAAACCGGAGGAAGGCGGGGAUGACGUCAAGUCCUCAUGGCCUUUAUGUCCAGGGCUGCACACGUGCUACAAUGGCGUGAACAAAGGGAAGCAAAUACGUGAGUAGGAGCAAAUCCCAAAAAACACGCCCCAGUUCAGAUUGAAGGCUGCAACUCGCCUUCAUGAAGUUGGAAUCGCUAGUAAUCGCGGGUCAGCAACACCGCGGUGAAUGUGUUCCUGAGCCUUGUACACACCGCCCGUCAAGCCACGAAAGGGAGGAGCGCCCGAAGCCGCGUAAGCGUCGAAGGUGAUAUUCCUGAUUGGGACUAAGUCGUAACAAGGUAACC
This 1477-nucleotide ribosomal RNA is filed under the name uncultured bacterium. Its description in RNAcentral is "bacterial SSU rRNA". It matches the Rfam family "Bacterial small subunit ribosomal RNA". The record is from RNAcentral.